GACAGAGGGUGCAAGCGUUAAUCGGAAUUACUGGGCGUAAAGGGCGCGUAGGUGGGCUAAUAAGUCAUGUGUGAAAUCCCUGGGCUUAACCUGGGAACUGCACGUGAAACUGCUAGUCUAGAGUACGGUAGAGGGUGGUGGAAUUUCCGGUGUAGCGGUGAAAUGCGUAGAGAUCGGAAGGAACAUCAGUGGCGAAGGCGACCACCUGGACCGAUACUGACACUGAGGCGCGAAAGCGUGGGUAGCAAACAGG
This 253-nucleotide ribosomal RNA is filed under the name uncultured bacterium. RNAcentral describes it as "partial 16S ribosomal RNA". It matches the Rfam family "Bacterial small subunit ribosomal RNA", at positions 524 to 776 of the family's 1533-position model. The record is from RNAcentral.